Drosophila navojoa is the source of this 569-nucleotide long non-coding RNA. Lineage: Eukaryota; Metazoa; Arthropoda; Insecta; Diptera; Drosophilidae. The record is from RefSeq and is a predicted model, not a curated record.
AUAUAUGUAGAUGCCGAUAUGCUGCAUGACGAAUAAUAAUACGAAAUAAAAGGUUCGUCUGGAGCCGAGUCGAAUGAUGUCUAAUGGACUGCAAUUGAUUAUGUCUGUCUAUAAUGAUGAAGCAGCUCGACCAAACAAUAAUGGCACGGCCAAAGUUAAGGGUAAUGACGGCGUACCGAAAACCCCCACCCAGCCCGCACAGCCACCCAACCCGCCCAUCCACCUAUUUGGCAAUAAGUUGUUAAUGGCUCUGUGGCACAAGUGGACGAUCCUUUUGUCGCUGACAGCCGAAGCAAUUUGGUCGAACGUUGCCAGCAGUGACCAAGCUAUCUUUCCACGAACUGUGAAUCACGAACAGACGCUAGAAGGAUAUUCCCCGAGAGGCUGGCACCAGUCGACCAGCGACGCAAACAAAAGUUUUUCAAUUAAAAACGUUAAAUAGCCACAAGCACUUAGCAAUAAAUUCCUGCUGCGUAUGGAGUGGAGUCGACAAUAAAACACCUAAUGAAACGCCAUUGCCUAAAAACAACAAUAAUUAUAAGUCGAAAUUGAAAAACAUAGACGUACUU